Molecule: ribosomal RNA, 515 nt
Filed under: uncultured Hypocreaceae
Lineage: Eukaryota; Fungi; Ascomycota; Sordariomycetes; Hypocreales
Description: eukaryotic LSU rRNA
Rfam family: 5.8S ribosomal RNA (bases 152-305)
Source: RNAcentral
GGAAUUUCAUGCCCCGGGCGCGUCGCAGCCCCGGAACCAAGGCGCCCGCCGGAGGAAUCAACCAAAACUCUUAUUGUAUACCCCCUCGCGGGUUUUUUUUAUAAUCUGAGCCUUCUCGGCGCCUCUCGUAGGCGUUUCGAAAAUGAAUCAAAACUUUCGACAACGGAUCUCUUGGUUCUGGCAUCGAUGAAGAACGCAGCGAAAUGCGAUAAGUAAUGUGAAUUGCAGAAUUCAGUGAAUCAUCGAAUCUUUGAACGCACAUUGCGCCCGCCAGUAUUCUGGCGGGCAUGCCUGUCCGAGCGUCAUUUCAACCCUCGAACCCCUCCGGGGGGUCGGCGUUGGGGAUCGGCCUUCCUUCACGGGGGCCGUCUCCGAAAUACAGUGGCGGUCUCGCCGCAGCCUCUCCUGCGCAGUAGUUUGCACACUCGCAUCGGGAGCGCGGCGCGUCCACAGCCGUUAAACACCCUACUUCUGAAAUGUUGACCUCGGAUCAGGUAGGAAUAACCGCUGAACUU